Molecule: ribosomal RNA, 460 nt
Filed under: uncultured bacterium
Lineage: Bacteria
Description: partial 16S ribosomal RNA
Rfam family: Bacterial small subunit ribosomal RNA
Source: RNAcentral
CCUACGGGUGGCAGCAGUGAGGAAUAUUGGUCAAUGGCCGGAAGGCUGAACCAGCCAUGCCGCGUGAAGGUCAGUGCCCUAUGGGCGUUAAACUUCUUUUGUGCGGGAGCAAUAAUGGUCACGUGUGGCCAGACGAGAGUACCGUACGAAUAAGCAUCGGCUAACUCCGUGCCAGCAGCCGCGGUAAUACGGGGGAUGCAAGCGUUAUCCGGAUUUAUUGGGUUUAAAGGGUGCGUAGGCUGUGAGGUAAGUCAGCGGUGAAAUGCCCCCGCGCAACGGGGUGAAGUGCCAUUGAUACUGCCUGGCUGGAAUGCGGAUGCCGUGGGAGGAAUGUGUGGUGUAGCGGUGAAAUGCAUAGAUAUCACACAGAACACCGAUUGCGAAGGCAUCUCACGAAUCCGCGAUUGACGCUGAUGCACGAAAGCGUGGGUAUCAAACAGGAUUAGAGACCCUAGUAGUC